RNAcentral lists this ribosomal RNA (253 nucleotides) under uncultured bacterium. RNAcentral's name for it is "partial 16S ribosomal RNA". It matches the Rfam family "Bacterial small subunit ribosomal RNA", at positions 524 to 776 of the family's 1533-position model. The record is from RNAcentral.
UACGGGGGGUGCAAGCGUUACUCGGAAUCACUGGGCGUAAAGGGAGCGUAGGCGUUCUAUUAAGUCUUGAGUGAAAGCCCGCAGCCCAACUGCGGAACUGCUCAGGAAACUGAUAGAAUUGAGUAUGGAAGAGGUAGGUGGAAUUUCCAGUGUAGGGGUAAAAUCCGUAGAUAUUGGAAGGAAUACCAGAAGCGAAGGCGACCUACUGGGACAUUACUGACGCUGAGGCUCGAAAGCGUGGGGAGCAAACAGG